RNAcentral lists this ribosomal RNA (256 nucleotides) under uncultured bacterium. Its description in RNAcentral is "partial 16S ribosomal RNA". It matches the Rfam family "Bacterial small subunit ribosomal RNA", at positions 524 to 776 of the family's 1533-position model. The record is from RNAcentral.
UACGUAGGGUGCGAGCGUUUGUCCGGAAUUAUUGGGCGUAAAGGGCUCGUAGGCGGUUUGUCGCGUCGGGAGUGAAAAUCCACUGGCUUAACUGGUGGCUUGCUUUCGAUACGGGCAGACUGGAGGUAUGCAGGGGAGAACGGAAUUCCUGGUGUAGCGGUGAAAUGCGCAGAUAUCAGGAGGAACACCGGUGGCGAAGGCGGGUCUCGUGGGCCGAUACUGACGCUGAGGAGCGAAAGCGUGGGGAGCGAACAGG